RNAcentral lists this transfer RNA (65 nucleotides) under Agrianome spinicollis. RNAcentral describes it as "tRNA-Trp". It matches the Rfam family "tRNA". Rfam says of the family: Transfer RNA (tRNA) molecules are approximately 80 nucleotides in length. Their secondary structure includes four short double-helical elements and three loops (D, anti-codon, and T loops). Lineage: Eukaryota; Metazoa; Arthropoda; Insecta; Coleoptera; Cerambycidae. The record is from RNAcentral.
AAGGAUUUAAGUUAAACUAAACUAUUGGCCUUCAAAGCUAAAAAUAGGGGUGUUCCUAAGCCUUA